CUGCAUGGAGCCGGCCUUGAAAUACCACCCUUUAAUGUUUGAUGUUCUAACGUGGACCCGUAAUCCGGGUUGCGGACAGUGUCUGGUGGGUAGUUUGACUGGGGCGGUCUCCUCCUAAAGAGUAACGGAGGAGCACGAAGGUUGGCUAAUCCUGGUCGGACAUCAGGAGGUUAGUGCAAUGGCAUAAGCCAGCUUGACUGCGAGCGUGACGGCGCGAGCAGGUGCGAAAGCAGGUCAUAGUGAUCCGGUGGUUCUGAAUGGAAGGGCCAUCGCUCAACGGAUAAAAGGUACUCCGGGGAUAACAGGCUGAUACCGCCCAAGAGUUCAUAUCGACGGCGGUGUUUGGCACCUCGAUGUCGGCUCAUCACAUCCUGGGGCUGAAGUAGGUCCCAAGGGUAUGGCUGUUCGCCAUUUAAAGUGGUACGCGAGCUGGGUUUAGAACGUCGUGAGACAGUUCGGUCCCUAUCUGCCGUGGGCGCUGGAGAACUGAGGGGGGCUGCUCCUAGUACGAGAGGACCGGAGUGGACGCAUCACUGGUGUUCGGGUUGUCAUGCCAAUGGCACUGCCCGGUAGCUAAAUGCGGAAGAGAUAAGUGCUGAAAGCAUCUAAGCACGAAACUUGCCCCGAGAUGAGUUCUCCCUGAGACUUUAGGUCUCCUGAA
RNAcentral lists this ribosomal RNA (661 nucleotides) under Salmonella enterica subsp. enterica serovar Stanley. RNAcentral describes it as "partial 23S ribosomal RNA". It matches the Rfam family "Bacterial large subunit ribosomal RNA", at positions 2176 to 2842 of the family's 2925-position model. The record is from RNAcentral. Lineage: Bacteria; Pseudomonadati; Pseudomonadota; Gammaproteobacteria; Enterobacterales; Enterobacteriaceae.